AGCUUUGUGCAGUGGCAGUAUCGUAUCCUGUGAGGUUUAUCCAAGGUCCGAUUAUUGCUAGUUGAAAACUAACAAUUUCUGGCAACUUUACAGGGACUAUUUACUGUAUACGUGUAAGUAUUCAGUAUGUUCUG
This is a small nuclear RNA of Dunckerocampus dactyliophorus (ringed pipefish), 134 nucleotides long. RefSeq annotates it as U4 spliceosomal RNA. Lineage: Eukaryota; Metazoa; Chordata; Actinopteri; Syngnathiformes; Syngnathidae. The transcript has a single exon. The record is from RefSeq and is a predicted model, not a curated record.